Molecule: non-coding RNA, 1050 nt
Filed under: Babjeviella inositovora NRRL Y-12698
Lineage: Eukaryota; Fungi; Ascomycota; Pichiomycetes; Serinales
Description: Bacterial small subunit ribosomal RNA
Rfam family: Bacterial small subunit ribosomal RNA
Source: Rfam by way of RNAcentral
UAUAUAAAUAUAUAAUAAUAUAUUAAUAGAAUAUAACCUCGUAGUAUAAACUCCCACUAUUAUAUGAAUAAUGAUCAUAUAUAUAGAGUAGUCCUGACUAAGAUCCGUGCCAGCAGUCGCGGUUAGACGGAGAGGGCUAGCGUUAAUCAAGAUGGCUUAAAGAGACCGUAGAGUUGAUUAUUAAAUAAUAAUCUAGAGUAUAUAGAUUAAGAUAAGAGACAUAGUAGUUAAGCGAUAAAAUGACUUUAAACUACGCUAUAUGACUGAUCUAAGGUUAAGACACUUAUCUAAUUAUAAUACUGACACUGAGGGUCGAAGGCUAGAGUAGCGAUACGGAUUAGAUACCCGAGUAGUUCUAGCUGUCAACUAUGAAUACUAAAUUAUAUAUUGAUUAUAUAAUUAAACACUAAAUUUAUAGUAUUCCGCCUGACUAGUAUGCACCCAAGUGUGAAAUUCAAGACAAUAGCCGGUUGUGAGCUUCAACAGUGGAGCCUGUUGUUUAAUUCGAUAAUCCACGAUAAAUCUUACCUAUGUUUGAAUAUAAUUUAUAAAUUAUACAAGUGCUACAUCGCUGUUGUCAGCUCGUGCUGUGAGGUCUUAGUUUUAGUACACUAACGAGCGCAAACCUAUGUAUUAUAUUAAUAAUACACUCUAUCAUACAUCGAUAGACUUUAUAGGAUGACAACAAGUCCACAUGGCCUCUAUACAUAGGGCUACAGACGUGCUACAAUCUAUUGAUUAAUAAUAAAUAACUUAGUAAUAAUUAAUUAAUAUUUUAAAUCAAUAGAAUCUUGAAAUAUUGUUUAUAUUUCUUGAAUAUACGGAUAAUAGUCUGUAACUCGACUAUUUGAAGCUGGAAUUGUUAGUAAUCACUGAUCAUCAUGCAGUGUUGAAUACCUCACUCACUUCGGACUAAUCACUCGUCACGUUACCAAAGUUAGAACACUACGUAUUAAUAUGUUAUUUGACUAUUAAGAGUAUAGACCGACGAUGGUGACGAAGUCGAAAUACAGUGACUGUUGGGGAACCAGUAGUUGGAUGUCCUAGUCU